This 75-nucleotide non-coding RNA is filed under the name Deinococcus peraridilitoris. RNAcentral describes it as "c-di-GMP sequence". It matches the Rfam family "c-di-GMP-I riboswitch aptamer". Rfam says of the family: GEMM was predicted in a large-scale screen for bacterial structured RNA regulatory elements. Genes associated with GEMM are involved in a diverse array of functions, including chemotaxis regulation, signal transduction, secretion and chitin. The record is from RNAcentral. Lineage: Bacteria; Thermotogati; Deinococcota; Deinococci; Deinococcales; Deinococcaceae. RNAcentral also lists the same sequence under 1 other name.
GAUCGACCAUGGCAAAACCACUGUGAAGUGGUGACGCAAAGCUCCAGAGCCCACGUGGCUGGCUGGGCCGCCGAA